GGUCUUUUAGCUUAACGGCUAAGAGCAGCCGGAAUACUACCGGUCAGGCGCUGGUUCAACGCCAGCAAGGGCCACCA
Molecule: transfer RNA, 77 nt
Filed under: Salmonella enterica
Lineage: Bacteria; Pseudomonadati; Pseudomonadota; Gammaproteobacteria; Enterobacterales; Enterobacteriaceae
Also listed under: 8 other names
Description: tRNA-Val
Rfam family: tRNA
About the family: Transfer RNA (tRNA) molecules are approximately 80 nucleotides in length. Their secondary structure includes four short double-helical elements and three loops (D, anti-codon, and T loops).
Source: RNAcentral